GAUGAACGCUGGCGGCGUGCCUAAUACAUACAAGUCGAGCGAACAGUUGAGGAGCUUGCUCCUCUGACGUUAGCGGCGGACGGGUGAGUAACACGUGGAUAACCUACCUAUAAGACUGGGAUAACUUCGGGAAACCGGAGCUAAUACCGGAUAAUAUAUUGAACCGCAUGGUUCAAUAGUGAAAGACGGUUUUGCUGUCACUUAUAGAUGGAUCCGCGCCGCAUUAGCUAGUUGGUAAGGUAACGGCUUACCAAGGCAACGAUGCGUAGCCGACCUGAGAGGGUGAUCGGCCACACUGGAACUGAGACACGGUCCAGACUCCUACGGGAGGCAGCAGUAGGGAAUCUUCCGCAAUGGGCGAAAGCCUGACGGAGCAACGCCGCGUGAGUGAUGAAGGUCUUCGGAUCGUAAAACUCUGUUACUAGGGAAGAACAAAUGUGUAAGUAACUAUGCACGUCUUGACGGUACCUAAUCAGAAAGCCACGGCUAACUACGUG
This 497-nucleotide ribosomal RNA is filed under the name uncultured bacterium. RNAcentral's name for it is "partial 16S ribosomal RNA". It matches the Rfam family "Bacterial small subunit ribosomal RNA", at positions 28 to 507 of the family's 1533-position model. The record is from RNAcentral.